RNAcentral lists this long non-coding RNA (1984 nucleotides) under Cricetulus griseus (Chinese hamster). RNAcentral's name for it is "lncRNA (ENSCGRG00015032898.1)". Lineage: Eukaryota; Metazoa; Chordata; Mammalia; Rodentia; Cricetidae. The record is from RNAcentral.
UUUGCGACCACCCUUCACCUGAGUGGAUUCGAUCUUGGAGGUAAGAUGAUUUGAGCUCACAACCUAUAUGUUCAAUGUUAUAUGUUUGCUUGUUAUGUCUCUUGCUGUUUUGUUGGUUUGGUGCCAUGACUUGAAUUUGAAUUUGCUGUUUUGUUGGUUUAGUGCCAUGACUUGAAUUUGAUCUGAGCCUGCACAGAAUUUGUAAUUUUUAUUUGUAAUUUGUACUGGUAUUUGGAAUUUGUAAUUCAGACUUCGAGACCCUGAAGUCCUGCCCUGGACGAAAGUCCGAGGGUUGCUUGAAUUGAACUAUAGGGUAAGCAGACGUGGGGGCCCAGAAAUAGACGUAUUUCUGGAACCCUUGGUUCCACCCUGGACGAAAGUCCAAGGGUUGUUUGUAAUUUUGGUUUGGGACACCAUUUCUUUGCCGAGGUUUGUGUUGUCUAAUGUCUGUCCAUGUUUCAUAUUUGUGUUGUCUGUUUGUUAAGCAUCUCUUUCUGUCCCUACUGCCUGCGCACAUGGCAUGCAUGGGUCAAGGGUCUUUUCUUGAUGCUCUGAGCACGUGGAGCCACCUCAACUGUGAUCGGCAGAUGUGCCCAGAGGACAGACUGCUGCGCUGAGGACACCCAGGAGGUCUGUGAGGCAUGCCAAGUGGGGCUGUUUCUGCCCCAGCUACGGUCCUGCCUACCUCGGGAGUUUCCCUGCUCUGAGGGAACAUGGCUGCAAGGCCACCAUCUGCCUGGCUGCCCAGCCUUCUCUGUGCUCCACACACAUGCACUCGGGAGGAAGAGGCAGAUGGAUCUUUAUGAGUUCAAGGCCAGCCUGGUCACAGAUGGAAUUCCAGGACAGGCUCCAAAGUCACAGAAAAACCCUGCCUCAAAAAGAAGUUAAGCUACUGUUUAAGAAAUAUAAGGUAGCUCUAUGCAGUUUUAAGUUCAGCUGUGCUAAGUUUCAAAUAUUUUACUAAGUUAAAACCAGUUACAGUCAGGCUGAAAAUUAAUUACAGAAAUAAGACCUUACCUAGCCACCUGUAUGCUUCUUGUGUGCUUAAGGCAAGUGACUAAAACAGACAAACAGACCUCUAAUGUUUCAGACAUCUUCAGAAUAUGGCAUUUAAAUUGUUAUCUUUAAAGUUUAUAAUAUCAGACAGACUACCAGAUCCUGACAGUGACCCAAAGUCUCCAAAGAAGAUUAUGAGGUACCUCAGUUCCUACACCUGGACCAGUGAGUGAGAUGCUCAGAUAUGAUACCUGCCGCCUGCCAGGACCUGGCCAAGACUGUGGACAAAGCUGCUGGACACUGGAAAUUGAUUGUACCCCCUUUGCCUAGACAAAACAAGGUCAGUCUUUUCCAUGUCCCUCUUCCACAGAGAGGAAAAAAAACUCUCACGGUAUAGGCCUGGCAAAGAUUGCUGUUCUUUGAGACAGCUGCCUCCAGCGGUAAUGGAGAAACUUGGGUGUGGCUAACUGUAUAUGGACUGGCUUCUAACUGGCUUCUGUCACUUUGUAGUAGAUUCAGAUAAAAUAUACCCUUCUCAGAUCUCUGAAAUAUUACUGGUUGUCAGCUUGACAGCAUCAGGCAGUCAGAUCCACUAUAGACUAGUCAGUAUGUUAGCUGAUAAAAUAGUGACUAUCUACUGUUCAGGCACAAGCUCAAGGUUUUUAAGUUUAUUUUGGUUGUCAUCUAAGUACAAACUUAAAGGGCUUUUCAUCAGGCCAAAGGCACCUCUGUCCAAUCCAUACCUGGCUCUCUGGACAGAAGAAAAAUGUACAUGCUUAUAGCCCAAAUCUGUAGUUUUUGCUAGGACUCAAAGUUAUAAAUAUGUUGCUGCUGUUUAAACAGAUAUCCAAAUAUCUGCUUUUUCUGCACUGUGGGCUUCAGUAAAUAAGUUUUAACCUCUGUUCCUAGUUUAAACAUGUCUUAAACAGAUUUCUGCUUCUGGCAGACAUCUGAGUAUCAGUUGCUGACUACAGGCUGUUCUAAGUAG